This is a long non-coding RNA of Ziziphus jujuba (common jujube), 11955 nucleotides long. RefSeq lists it as uncharacterized. NCBI's taxonomy places the organism in Eukaryota, Viridiplantae, Streptophyta, Magnoliopsida, Rosales, Rhamnaceae. The transcript has 6 exons. The record is from RefSeq and is a predicted model, not a curated record.
UCAAGCCUACGCAAAGCACAUUCAUAUACUGACCGGCCAAACCUGAAACUCCUCCAUUCUCAACUCCUCUCUCUCUCUCUCUCUCUCUCUCUCUCUCUCUCUCUCUUUCCCUUUCUACAUCUUCUUACGUCGCCGAUUCCGAUAAGCCGGUGGAAGAGAAAGGCGCAGUUUACCAGCGGGCCAUGCCGAUGCCGGAAAUAGGAAGUUCGUGUUGGAAGAACAAAGUUGUGGUUACAGAGACUGAUGCUUGAUCCAAUUGAACACAAUCUAAGAACAAUGUUAUGGUUACAGAGACUGAUGCUAGAUCCAAUUGAACACAAUCUAAGAUAAGGUAUGCUACUUUUUACAUGUACAUAUGAGUAGGUGUAAGAAUAUUGUUCUACCUGUGUUUAUGUACUUAUUUUGGAUAUAGUUGCUGGGUCCGAGGUUCCCUUUUAAACUUUUUCUAAAUGAUGAUCAAAUCUUAUGUUCUUAAUGUUAUUCUUCCUCUUCUUUGAGAUUUUUUUGUAACACUCCUUCCCUCCCACUCCAUGAAAUAUGGUUCUUAUCAAUUGUUUUUUUUCUUAGUUGCUGUUGUACUUAGUUUGAGGGAUGGUACAAGUCUACAUGCCUGUUUCUGAUACAAUUACAUGUUGGUAAAGUUUCCCUCUUUGAAAUCUUUUUCGAUGGUCCAAAAAUGUGAUAAAAGUUGUUGCACUUGCUUGUGCAUGGUUAUACUAAACAUUUGUAGCCUUUUACCAUGUCUCUGAGGAAAUUUUCCAAUAAGCUGUAUGAGAAAGGAAAAGGCAAUCCUAUUCUAUUUGGGUAAAGUUUCCCUCUUUGAAAUUUUUUCUAUGGACCAAGAAUGUGAUAAAAGUUUUACACUUUCUUGUGCACGAUUACCACGGCUCUGAGGAACUUCGGCAAUAAGCUGUAUGAGAAAGAAAAAGGAAAAUGUGAAGAAGAGAUCUCCGAGUGCAGUAUUUGUGAUAAACAGGCCUGCUUUGCUAUCCUCUGCAUUGGAUGGUGGACCAAAAUUUAGAGGCGCCUAUGCCAUUUCAAAGGCUAAAGUUAUAGUAUGAUCCUCAGUUUCAGCUUAUGUUGUAGGUUUUCUGUAUGAAACUGAUGAUCUCCAAGUGCCAAAACAAAUUACGUCCCGUACUCAGCAUUAUGCUAAUGAAGUUGAUAAUGGCGAUUCUCAUUUUCCUCCAAACAAUUAUAAAAAGUAGGCUACAUAAACCUUUGUACCCAUUCCGGUUGUUAGUAUCACUUAUCAUUAUUACCUAAUUUUCUAGAAGUUGUACUUACGGCAUAUGGUCUCUAGUGACCCCACCACCCCUAAAGAGUAAAAGAAUAAUGAAGUCAAUAGAUAUCUAAGUGAAGGUAUGUUUCCCUUCCUAGGCCUUCAUUUUCUUCUCCUACAAUGGGUGCUAGGUUAAAUGAUAUUUGCAGCACACGUGAUUCUCAAGCCCACCACAUUAUAUUAUUAUUGUUAUCUCAGUGUUGCUUUUUGUUUCUAUUUUAUUGGCCCAUUAUUGGUUCUACCAGCCCAUCUCAAGCUCUCAACAUGCGGAAUAAUAACUUUUUUAUUAUCUUGAUGUUGCCUUGAAAUAUUCUCUCAGAACUCCUUCUGGUGAGUUUUACAUUUUAUUUCUUUUUGUUUGUCAAAUCAAUUUUCAGUAUCUAUUUAUUUUGCUUUAUCUUGUGCAUAUGCACAUUCAAAGAAUAACAAUACACAUUUAUGGUGAAAGGUAGAAUUUGACUCUUCUAGUGGCAUGCAUGUGUGUUUCAUUCUUAUAUAAAGAGAACUCUAUCCUUAUAUAAAUGCCCAGUUAAAAUAUCAAUCUGUCCCUCUAUUUCUAGAAAGGAAGUUUUUUAUCUUCUAGUGUUUAUUUUCAUUGAAAUUUCUCUUUUAAGAAUAGUUUAGCUGUUUUAUGUGGUUACACAGCACCUUUUUGGCAUUUUUAGAUAAGCAGAACCUAUUGCAUCUAUGCAUUGAGGAAGGUAUGAGUUGUCCCUCCAUGUUAGUCUAUGGACUGAUAAAAUAUUUCCAAGUAGUUUUAAACUGCCCUGUCAAUGCAUGCUCUAAUUUUUCUCAAGACAAAGGAUUCCAAGAAAGUAUAUAUAUUACAUCUCGAGAGCAUUGAAAUUAUGAAUAUGAGUAGACUGUUGCAUCAUUAUGCUUGCUGUCAAAUUUUAAUAUAAUUAUUUUUAUGAAUAAAACUUUUGUUUGCCUCUGUGUUAGCUGAUUAAGAUGCCAUGUAAUCUUACUAGUUAUGUUGGCUGAUGUAGUUUUCUGUGAAUGGAAAAUCUUACUGGUUAUGUUGGUUGAUGAAGUUUUCUUUUGUAAUUCUGCUUCCAAUAUACUCGACAGGUCAAAAUUCUUUUGAAUUGGAAAAUCUACAGUUUAUGUGAAUUUUAAACAAGUUAUACUUGACAGGUCAAAAUUUUUUAACCUAUAAUUAAUUUGGACAUAUUUCAACUUCAGUGCACGCUGAAGGAGAUAAUAUUUUCCUUACAUGCAGGUCUGGCUUUAUGAAAUUAGUUGCUUAUGUCAUGCUAGCUUGUACUCUUAAAUGUUGUAACUUCAUGUAUGUACAAUUUUAUGUUAAUUUUUCCAUGGCAAAUCAUUUGGUAUACCUUGAUUCUUGGUAAAAUUUUAAAAAAGAACUUUGACAAAGAUUUUAUGCAGGACAUUGAACUUGAAUAGCGUUAUUAUAUUACUGGUCUAUGUUGUUGCUUUAUGUGCUUUCCAAUCUGCUUUGCGCUAUCAUUUGUGGGGUUGGACAUCUUGUGGCACUUGGGUUAUGUGAAGGUUUUUCCACAUUUGGUAGGAUUAUUCUAAAAAAUUUAUAUAAUGCCUAAGGCAACUUCUUGAAUACCAUAUUAUAAUAGAAGAUUUUCUAGUUGAGUAUUGGUAGACUUUUUUAUGUAUUUUUUUUUUAUUUUUUUUUAAUGAUGCUUUUCUAGUAUCUGCUAAAAUAAGUUAAACCCAGGAUCAUUUGUUAGUUUUGUUGAUGAAUAAUUUGAGUUUCUGUCUAUUAAUUGUGGGAAUCAUUGCAUGUAUUUGAUUAAAAAUAAGCUUUAAUAAGUUGGUCUACUGAGGUUAUUACAUCUGUAUACCAGGAAGUAUUAUUAGCUACUGCAUAAAAAUUCAAUGCAGCAUUGCAAUACAUAUUCAGGCAUAUCACAUAUUAAGGCAUAUGCAUAUCACAUUUGCCUUUUUGUAAAAAGAUACUUUAUGUUCUAUUUCUUUCUUCCACCCAACUGCAUAUUUAUCUGUAUUGUCUUCUCUACCUUUUGAGAAAUAGCUUUUUACAUUCAUUCACAGGAAUGUUUCGGUCCUCUUUUUUGGUGGAAUAAAUUUUUCCAUGUAUGAUAUUGUUGUCAAAAUGACUUUCUAUUAUCCUAUUUUUUAUCUUGUAAUGAAUUGAUUUAUUAAGUUCUACUAGAGAUUUUUUUUUUUUUUUUUGGGCCAAGUAUGAAUGGUGCUCUUAUUUUUGGUGGUAUUUUGCUUUGUUAAUGACAAAACUAUGUUUCUAUCAUAAUGUUCUUUUAUAUCUCAUGAUGUGUGCAAUGUGAUGAAGCGUCUAACUCAAAGACAUUGACAACGAUAGAGUUUCAAGUUUAUUAUAAUCAAAUUGCUAUUUAAUGUUUUCUUAAUAUGUUUGACACUUUCUUGGAGAGAUGUUCUCUGACAGUAAGAUGCUUUGUGAUAGGGGUUCGGUUCAUAUUAACUUAAAUAUAUAUACAAGUGUAGAUCUGUUUUGUUUUCUAUGUCAGUGCUAAUUACAGAACAAGGUUGUGGUUACAGAGACUGAUGCUGGAAUCACUGUAACCCAAUCUAAGGUAAGCAAUGCAAUUGUUUAUAUGUGCAUAUGAGUCGGUGAAAAGUGUAUUAUCCUAUCUAUAGUUCUAGUUUCGCUUCUGAUAUUUUUAAUGACGAUCAUACCUCAUGUUCUUAAUGUUAUUCUUCCUCUUCUUUGAAAAUAUUUUGUAACACUCCCCCUCCCGUUCUCUAAAUUUAGUUCUUACCCAUCAAGGUUUUACAUAGUCAUUGCACUUAGUUUGAUUGAUUGUACAAUCCCACAUGCCUGAAUAUGAUUGAUACACAAUUGCAUUAGUCGCUUUAAUAUAAUCUGUAAAGCAUGAAUAUUUCCAUGUUUAAAAUCUUUUCUAUGGAUCAAGAAUGUGAUAAAAGUUGAUACACUUUGGGUCAUCUCAGUGAUCAUUGAACCAUGGAGAAUAUUUGUAGCCUUUUCUGCCACUCUGAGAAACUUUGGCAAUAAUCUGUAUUGAAAGAAAAAGGUAAAACCCUAUCUUAUUUCAUUAUAAGCAUGGAACUACUUUAUAGAGUUUUGAAAUCGAGCUUUUACUUUUCUUAAUCAAGUAAUAAAAAAUUUGUUGGACCAAUAUGAUGGCAAGUUUUUGACUUUUUUGCAAUUAGAAAGAGAGUAUCAGGAUUGGAUUCUUCACAUGCAUGAUCAGUAUGAAGAAGAAACUGAUCAUGGAAAAGAUCAACCUGUUCUUGCUGUCAGCCCGACAAACAAAAUGACAAUUUGCAUUUCAUAUGAUUGUGUCUAUAAAGUGAUCAGCAGUACUAUUUUCUGAAUCGAUAGAUCCUUUUGUUUUGUUCUUCCAAUUCAUUCUUGUCCUUUCUUUUCAAAUCUAUGGCUUUCAUUCUGACCCUAUUUCUAUCUUGUGUUAGCUAAUCUUAUAAUUGACUAUAAUUGCAGUUACAAAAGUGCACAAGAUUCAAAACAGGAAGGCUGUAACCUGGAAAUCUUGGCAAAAAAAUCAAGCUGCUUCUGAUGGGAGCAUGUGCUAGGGUUCAUAAAAUUAAUAUCUAUAUGGUGGACUGUUUUUUUUAUUCCUAACAAUCUUUGAAGAUAAAUGUGGCUAAAAUGAUAUAUUUUAGUUGAUUGCUAAGUUUCUAUAAAUCCCUUGCAUGUUUAGUUGUUUCUUGAUAAUCUUUAUUAGCAUAAAGCAUCUAGGAUUGUAUAGUAUCCUGUUAUAUCUUUGUCAUGUUGAGAUUUUAUACUUGGAUAGUGACUAAAUAAGUAAAUGGCAUGCUUAACAAAAUUUUUGCUCUUUUUCUUCUUCUAUGGAACCUUAUCUACUGAAGACACCAAGUGGGUUAUCCAACGUAGUGGAAGCAAUGAAACAAAUAGAAAGCAUAGGUAACUCCUCUGCUGCUUUUGUUCUCUGUCAUCUUCGUAGAGAAGUUCCAGUCCAAGAGCCACAUAGUCAUUUCAUAGGAGGUAUAGUUUGGCUUGUGGAUCUACUUGGUAGAGUUCAUUCCACUGAACUUAGCAAGUACAAUUCCUGUGCACUACCAUUGGAGCAGGGAAAAGCAAAGAGAGAAUGGGUGUUUGAACACUAUUACAAAUUCCUAAAAGUUGAAUUCCCAAUUAAAGUACCAAUAAGAGUAGAGAAAAGAAAGAAAGGAGAGAGAAGAAAGGAAACAAGAGAGAGUAUAUCAGUGUGGGAGUUUCCUAAACCAUUUAUAACUGAGGAAAAAAAAAAAAAUUAUGAAAACAACGAAAACAGAGGUAAUAUCCUAUUUCCGGCAGGAAAAGAACAGCAUCUUUUUUUGUUUGAGCUGACCCUUGAAGGGAUGGUAAAAUAUGUCAUUAUAGUAUGAGUGCUUAUGUUACUGGCAUAGGGAGGUCAAACACAUCAGCAGUCUUUUCCUUGGGUAGCUUGUCUUCUAUAUCUUAUGAUGUGUUGUGGACACACUUUGUAAGAGUUUUUUGUGUAGAUGCUAAGGUUUGUUGUAUAUGCUAAGAUAAACUAUCUAUGAUGAACUUGCAAUAGAUAUCUAGUUUUUUUUCUCUUUACGUUGCUUCUUCUAUUUAUAUUUUAAAAACAGAAAUCCCCUAUGGUUUCAUUUUAAUGUCAUUCCAGAUUAUAUUCAAUGCUUGGCAUUGGACUGCAUUUUCAUGUGUAAUCAAUUUCUCUUUCCUUUUACAGGUAGUUGUAUGCAAAAUCCUAUAGAUAUGUUUGUAUUCUGCAGAAGCAAGUCAAAUAUCUCCUGUGUCUACAAACCAACUCUGUGACUGUGACUGGUAACCUGUAGCCUCAUUUUUUUCCUUUUAAGAUCAUGUUUAUUUUCACACAGGUUUCCAUCGUGACUUCCAUUAUUUUGCCUAUAUUUAUGGUAUUUGGUGGCCUAAUACUCUUUUAACAGUGAGGACAAAAAACAAAGGAAAUUAUCUUUUACUUUUAGUGUUCUGUGUUCUUAAAGUUUAUAUUUAGUAGAACUGAUAAAAUUUGAAUAUCUUUCAGUUGUUUUAUUUCCUUAAACUUCAACAAUAACUUUUUCUGUUUCUUCCAAGACCAUGAACACAAGACAGUUAUUUAUCAGAAAAUGUGUUUGGAAAGAACUUGCUUUUAUUUUCUUACUCUGCUGAAAAUUGAAUCGCAGUCCCUUUCCCUCAAAGAAUGGAUGAACAAACCCAAUGCUUCAUCAAGAAUAAACCUGAACCAUAAGGCCAAACAUGAGGAAAAGUAAAAAGUUCUUUGUAAUGUUCUUGUUACUAUUCUUCAAUACUUUGGCCUCUUUCCUUUGUAAUGUUCUUUUUACUGUUCUUCAAUACUUUGGUCUCUUCUUUGUUUUAGAAUGUCUUCUUCUUCUUCAAUAUUUCCUUGGUAUAUGUUCUUUUCUCAAUUCUGAUUAUCUUUUUAUAUCAGUAAAUUGGAAUAAUAUGCAUGUAUUUAACAAAAUUAUUAACUGUUCCAUUGUUUUUAGAGAGUGAAGCGGUUGAGACAUAAAGUACAGAGAUAAGCAUUCGUUUUAGAUUACUUUCCACCGAAUAUUAUAACUACCUUCAAGCAUAAGAUUUGGUUAUUUGGCACUUUUAAAAAGAUGAUUAGUUGAAUUUUUACUGUCCAAAAUGUUGUCACCUAUUGCCUAUUUAAUUUUUCCAAAAUGUUAAAAGUCCUUUUGAAGAAUUAUAGGAAAAGCCUUGUAAUUUGCACGCAUAAACUCCUAGAAAGCCUGAAGGUUUUUAUAAUAUAUAAUGAUUUGUUUUUUAAUAUUUGUCUGUGAUGUAUCUUUUAAUAAAUAUUUGUGCAAAUUAUUAGGUCACUAAGAAAAUCUGCCAAUACAGAUAUUAUAAUAUAAUUCUAAAAACUUUAAAAAAUUAAAUUUUGAAAACUUUUUUUUAUAAUUUAAUUUAUCUUUAAUAAUAUUUUUUUCAAAAAAAUUAUUAUUUCUCUUAGUAAAUUCCCCCCCCCCCCCCCUCUUUCUUGUUUUUUUUGUUAUUAUUUGCUGUUUUUGUUGCUGCAUGUUUUUUCAUUGGUUUCAUGAUUUCAAAGGGGCUCUGAUCUUAUUGUUUCCUACUGUUCUGUAUGAUUUUAAUGCAUAAUGAGUUCUUAUGUCGAUUAUUAUGUUUGAUUUAUUUUAUAAAAAAAAAAAAAUUAUGUGCAUCUAGUUUAAAUAAAUAAGUGCUUUUGUCAUUUCAAGAUUUCUCACGUCCAAAACAAUUGAAUUGAUUGUGAAAAGAAAUAUAGCAUUUGAAACAGAAACACAAUAACUAAUAUAAUGUCUUGAAACAGAUUAGAAAUUAUUAGGAAGUUGCAAGUUUCUCAGCUUCCUGAUGAGCCUUAAUUAAAAUAAAGGACUUAAGAUCUAGUUGAAACAAAGAAAAGCCAGUACUCCUACUUUUAUAUAGCUCGAUUCCAUAAGAGCUUUAAAAUUAUUGAAUCUUUAUCUUUCUUACUUACUAGUAUAAUUCAUCAAAAGUUAAUUAAAGAUCAAUAAUCACGCACUUUAGUUUGUCCCACCAUGCAUUCAAAUGUGUGCAAAAUAGCUUAGACAAAAAAUAAAAUAAUAACUAGUUUCUGUUUACAACAUCAUUAAAGUAAAAGAAGGAGAAGCAUCCAACCUCUUUCUUUUUUUGGUCAGCAACCAACUUUGAUUUGAUUCCCAUUUUCAGCUAGGAGCUUUCAUAUCAUAUUUACCUUGGGUGACAAGCCUGCAUUAAUUGCUAAAUGUCUAAACUAGAGAUAUAAAUUAAUUGGCCAGUUCAAUCCAGGUGCAGUACUUUUUGAGCAUUGCUGAACCUCUGGUAUCUGCAAUCCUAAAGCAGCUAGUUUCCAUCACUCGUCAAUUGAUUGAAGAAGAGGUGAAGCUGAUCAAUAUGUUGCUAAAGAUGUUGCAAAGCUCACAAGCAAUCUUCAAGCAUUCAGGCUGUUCUUGAGUUUGCAGCAAAGAAAGAUUGGUUAGAGAAGCUCAAAGAAGUAUCCUUUGACAUGGAUGACAUGUUAGAUGAGUGAGGCAUUUCUAUUCUCAAAUCAAAAUUUGUUCAGGAAGGAGGAGGAGGAGAUCAUGAUCAAAACAAAGCUCUCUAUACCAUUACCAAUAAUAAGAAGGUUUGUUUUUCUGUGCCCUGUUCUUGUUUUUAACUGCAAAUGAGAAAAAUAGAUACUCUGUUAACCUUGUAGAGGCCAUAGUGCACAAGUACCUGGACGAUCAAAAACUACCUCCUUUGUUGAUGUACCCAAAAUACAAACAAGCUGCUCAGUGAGGGGUCAUGGGAAGGGAGGGCUAGGAAUCAUUCCCAUUGUAGGAAUGGGAGGAGUAGGUAAACUACUCUCGCCCAACUUGUAUAUAAUGAUGAUCAAAAUCAUGGCUUUUGGGUAUGUGUCUCUGUUCCUUUUGUCCAGAUCAAUAUUGCUAGAGCAAUCAUUGAAGCUUUAGAUUAUAAAGUUGAACUUUCUAUUGAAUUGGAAACUUGUUUACAACGUGUUCGUCAAUAUGCUGAAGGAAAGAAGUUCCUUCUUGUCUUAGACAUUGUAUGGAGACGAUGACCAAAAGUGGGAACAAUUGAAGCAGCCACUCACAUAUGGUGGUGUAGGAAGUAAUAUUUUAGUCACUACAUGAAAGGAAGAAGUUGCAAUUAUGAUCAGAGCAACCGACUCUCAAGGUUGCUAUUUAAGUGUUGUCUGAAGAUGAUUGUUGGUUGAUAUUUAAGCAACUAGCAUUUUUGGAGAAUGAGGAAGAGCUUGAACACCUAGAGCAAAUUGGCAGAAAGAUCGUAAGGAAGUGCAAAAGCUUGACCCUUGUUUCAAAGAUUUUAGGAAAUCUCAUGUGCUUUAAGAAAACCAUAAGGCAAUGGGAAGAUAUGGGAAAUUAGAUAUGCUAAUAGCAGAACUGUCACACCCUUCUUGUUGAGUUAUUAUGAUUUGUCUUCUUGUCUUAGACUAUGUACGGACAGACAAUGACCAAAAUUGGAAACAAUUUGAAGCAGCCUCGCACAUAUGGUGGUGUAGGAAGUAAAAUUUUAGUCACUACAUGAAAGGAAGAAGUUGCAAUCAUGAUGAGAGCAACCAACUAGCAAGGUUUCUAUUCAAGUGUUGUCUGAAGAUGAUUGUUGGUUGACAUUUAAGCAACUAGCAUUUUUGGAGAAUGAGGGAAAGCUUGAACCACCUAGAGGACCAUAGGGAAGUGCAAAGGCCUCCUCUUGUUUCAAAGAUUUUAGGAAAUCUCAUGUGAAAUCUCAUGUGCUUUUAAAAAAACCAUAAGCCAAUGGGAAGAUAUGGAUUAACAAAAUUUUCACACUCUUCUUGUCGAGUUGUCAUGAUUUGUCUUCUUUACAAAGACGUUUCUCAUACUGUUCCAUAUUUCCAAAAAGGCUAUUAUUUAAUUAAGAGAGACGACUUAAUUCAAAUGUGGAUGUCCAAAGGUUUCUGAAGCCAGUAGGAACCUUGAAAAAGAAAGUCAAAAUUGUUUUGAAAAUCUAGUAAUGCGGUCUUUCUUUCAAGAAUUGGAAAAGACUGAUGGAGGUAAAACAGAAUGUUCUAGCAUGAUAGUCGAGGGGUUGAAGAGAAAAUGGUUCUAGAUGAUGGCAAAGCUCGUCCUCGCACAUUUGUAUUGCCUUCAAAGGCCACGUUUCCUACCGCAUCAUUGCACAAUGAAGAGAAUCUGCAGUCACUUUUCAUCUUUGGUGGAGACACAAAUACUACAAAUACCUUGAGUACUCUUGAUUAUAUUUUAAGCCAAUAAGAGAUUAUGGAGCAAGAUAUUGGGAAGUUGAAGCAUUUGGGAUAUCUUGUUUUGUCUACCAAUUAUGACUUGAAAGAAUUACCUGAAAGUCUUGUCAUUUAUGUAAUUUGUGAACAUCUUAUUAGACUGCCUGAAGGGAUAGGAAAACUAAUUAAUUUGAGACAUUUUCUUGUUGAAGGAUGCGAUUUACUUGAAGGGUUCCCAAGAGAAGAGUAAGUAGUCUCGGACAUUAGACUGUUUGCUUGUGCCUGAGGUAAAUAAGGUUGCAUAUUUCAACAUGGGAGAUCUGGAGAAGCUAAAAAACCUUGUACUUGAAGGGUCUCUUUGUGUAAAUAGGUAUGGAAACUUGGAAAAAGUGCAAAAGCUAAAACUCAUGAACAGGAAGAAUAUUGGUAUUUUAAAGCUGCAUUCUGGACAGAUUAAGGAGCAACGGACAAUCAAAACUGAUGUUCUAAUGUUGGAAGCUUUGCAACCAAAUUAAAACCUGAAAUCUUUAGAGGUUUGCAAUUUUAUGGGAACCACCUUGUCACCCACAUGGAUUGCAUCGUUAACUAAUCUUGGAAGUCUUUCCCUGGAGUGUUGCAUUACUGUGAGACGUUAGAAAUGCCGUUGGGGAAAUUUCCACUUCUUGAGUCAGUGUGCAUAAAAUAUAUGCAACGUGUGACAAGGCUGAGUUUAUGGGAAUAUCUAAUACAGAUACACAAGGUGCAAGCAGCGGUAGCAGCAGCACAGGGCUCAGAACAAUAUUUCCUUCCCAAAAUUGCAACAACUUCUUUUUAUCGGAUGGAUCAUUUGUGAGAAUUGACAGGCACUGCAAGAAAUUUAACAACCAUGCCUUGUCUCCAUUCCUUAGAAAUCGUGGAUUGCCUUGGACUUGAAGAACUGCCAGAUUUCAUUCAAAGAAUACCUCUGCAGAAGCUGAUCAUCAGGGAGUGUGGAUUUCUCUCACAUGCUCGCCAAAGGAGGGGAACUCAGUGGUUCAAGAUUUCUCACGUACCAAACAUUCGAAUUGAUUCCAAGGGUGUGAAAAGCCGGCAUUCCGAUUCAGAGGAAAUGUUUUUCAACCGUGAAGUAAAUUGUGCCCGGACAUGAGCUUAUCUAAUGGAAAUUACGCUGAUAAAGUUUUCAACUCUCGUUUCUAUGGAUCUGAAAGGUGCAUGUCAGAAUCAAGAAAGAAACUCUGUUGAAAUUAUUUCUGGUAGAAGAGCCUCAGUUGCGUUUUCUAAAAGUCAACACCACAUCUCACGUAGCUAUAGAUAACGCUAAUGAGUAAAUACUACGCAUUUUUGUUGUACUGCUGCUAUUCAGGUCAAAGGGAAAGAUGGCGUUUCCACCCAAAAUAAAGAGCAUCAUGAGGCGCAGAAUACAUGAUGAUUCCAAUUCAUACUGCUUCAGGAACUAACAGAUGCAGGGUGACAUCAAAAGACAUUGUGACGGUGGUUUUCUCGAGUGUUUAUUUAAUCUCGCACGGUAAAGUAAAUCAUGAAAUUCAAAUUGGCAUGCACUUAAAAAAUGUCUAAACUUCCAUGUACUUAGAACUGUCAAAAAGUACAAAUUUUCAGGUUUGUUAUUGUUCUGUGAUUUCUUUUGCCGAAAUAACAUAUUGAAGUACCGAAAAUUUGGAAACAGAGGACUUUGACUACAGAAAAUAACAAGGCUACAUGGAUUGUACGUAUUCCAACUUCGGGGGAUUACAGAUAAUCAAUUUGUUUGCUAGCAAGUCAUGUGAUUUCUUUUGGUGAAAAUAACAUAAAGGACUAUUUUAUUUUAUGAGCUUAAAGCAUUAUCUAGAAUCGUCAUCGAGGGAACUAUUCCUACAUAUUUUAUUUUGGUCCCUUAAAUUUGUUAAUUUUACCCACUACCUGCUCUCUGUAGUUUUGUUUUUUUAUGUUCGCUGAAAUCUCUGAAUGGAGUUUUAGCCCAUGAAGUAAUGGCUUUCAAUUCAGCCCAAUCGUGACAACAUAUUU